Molecule: ribosomal RNA, 439 nt
Filed under: uncultured bacterium
Lineage: Bacteria
Description: bacterial SSU rRNA
Rfam family: Bacterial small subunit ribosomal RNA
Source: RNAcentral
AAUCAACGCUGGCGGCGUGCCUAACACAUGCAAGUCGAACGCGAGAGGGGCUUCGGCCCUGAUUGAGUGGCAAACGGGUGAGUAACGCGUGGGUGACCUACCUUCGAGUGGGGGAUAACGUUCCGAAAGGGACGCUAAUACCGCAUAACAUCCUGUCUUUGGACAGAUGGAGAUCAAAGCCGGGAUCGUAAGACCUGGCGCUUGAGGAGGGCCCGCGUCCGAUUAGCUAGUGGUGGGGAAUGGCUCACCAAGGCAACGAUCGGUAGCCGGCCUGAGAGGGCGGACGGCCACACUGGGACUGAGACACGGCCCAGACUCCUACGGGAGGCAGCAGUGGGGAAUUGUUCGCAAUGGGCGCAAGCCUGACGACGCAACGCCGCGUGAAGGAUGAAGGUCUCGGAUUGUAAACUUCUGUUGAUCGGGACGAACAGCCAAGGGA